UACGAAGGGGGCUAGCGUUGCUCGGAAUCACUGGGCGGAAAGCGCACGUAGGCGGACUCUUAAGUCGGUGGUGAAAUCCUGGAGCUCAACUCCAGAACUGCCUUCGAUACUGGGAGUCUCGAGUUCGGGAGAGGUGAGUGGAACUGCGAGUGUAGAGGUGAAAUUCGUAGAUAUUCGCAAGAACACCAGUGGCGAAGGCGGCUCACUGGCCCGAUACUGACGCUGAGAUGCGAAAGCGUGGGGAGCAAACAGG
RNAcentral lists this ribosomal RNA (253 nucleotides) under uncultured bacterium. Its description in RNAcentral is "partial 16S ribosomal RNA". It matches the Rfam family "Bacterial small subunit ribosomal RNA", at positions 524 to 776 of the family's 1533-position model. The record is from RNAcentral.